RNAcentral lists this microRNA precursor (62 nucleotides) under Pelobates cultripes (western spadefoot toad). The record is from RNAcentral. Lineage: Eukaryota; Metazoa; Chordata; Amphibia; Anura; Pelobatidae.
UAGUGUUGCAAUGUAAAACAUUGCAGUUUUAGAGAAACUGCAAUGUUAACAUUGCAGCACUA